This 840-nucleotide ribosomal RNA is filed under the name Xanthoparmelia chlorochroa. RNAcentral's name for it is "eukaryotic LSU rRNA". It matches the Rfam family "Eukaryotic large subunit ribosomal RNA", at positions 81 to 936 of the family's 3401-position model. Lineage: Eukaryota; Fungi; Ascomycota; Lecanoromycetes; Lecanorales; Parmeliaceae. The record is from RNAcentral.
CAGUAACGGCGAGUGAAGCGGCAACAGCUCAAAUUUGAAAUCUGACUCCUUCGGGGUCCGAAUUGUAAUUUGUAGAGAGUGCUUCGGGCGAGACCGCGGUCUAAGUCCAUUGGAACAUGGUGUCAUAGAGGGUGAGAAUCCCGUAUGCGACCGUGGCUCGAGCCCAUGUGAAGCCUCUUCGACGAGUCGAGUUGUUUGGGAAUGCAGCUCAAAAUGGGUGGUAAAUUUCAUCUAAAGCUAAAUACUGGCUGGAGACCGAUAGCGCACAAGUAGAGUGAUCGAAAGAUGAAAAGCACUUUGGAAAGAGAGUCAAACAGUACGUGAAAUUGUUGAAAGGGAAGCGCUUGCAACCAGACCUGCCCGUAGGCGAUCAGCCGCUGUUCUCAGCGGUGUACUCGCUCUGCGAUCAGGCCAGCAUCGGUUUCGGCGGUCGGAUAAAGGCCUUGGGAAUGUAGCUUCCCUUCGGGGGAGUCUUAUAGCCCUCGGUGCAAUGCGGCCAGCCGGGACCGAGGACCGCGCUUCGGCUAGGAUGCUGGCGUAAUGGUUGUAAGCGACCCGUCUUGAAACACGGACCAAGGAGUCUAACAUCUAUGCGAGUGUUUGGGUGUCAAACCCAUACGCGGAAUGAAAGUGAACGGAGGUGAGAACCCUUAAGGGCGCAUCAUCGACCGAUCCAGAUGUCUUCGGAUGGAUUUGAGUAUGAGCAUAGCUGUUGGGACCCGAAAGAUGGUGAACUAUGCCUGAAUAGGGUGAAGCCAGAGGAAACUCUGGUGGAGGCUCGCAGCGGUUCUGACGUGCAAAUCGAUCGUCAAAUUUGGGUAUAGGGGCGAAAGACUAAUC